UACGUAGGGUGCAAGCGUUAAUCGGAAUUACUGGGCGUAAAGCGUGCGCAGGCGGUUUUGUAAGACAGAGGUGAAAUCCCCGGGCUCAACCUGGGAACUGCCUUUGUGACUGCAAGGCUGGAGUACGGCAGAGGGGGGUGGAAUUCCGCGUGUAGCAGUGAAAUGCGUAGAUAUGCGGAGGAACACCGAUGGCGAAGGCAACCCCCUGGGCCUGUACUGACGCUCAUGCACGAAAGCGUGGGGAGCAAACAGG
This 253-nucleotide ribosomal RNA is filed under the name uncultured Comamonadaceae bacterium. RNAcentral describes it as "partial 16S ribosomal RNA". It matches the Rfam family "Bacterial small subunit ribosomal RNA", at positions 524 to 776 of the family's 1533-position model. The record is from RNAcentral. Lineage: Bacteria; Pseudomonadati; Pseudomonadota; Betaproteobacteria; Burkholderiales; Comamonadaceae.